AACGAACGCUGGCGGCAUGCCUAACACAUGCAAGUCGAACGAAACCAUCGGGUCUAGUGGCGCCCGGGUUCGUAACGCGUGGGAACCUGCCCUUAGGUUCGGCAUACCUCUCCGACAGGGGUACUAAUACCGGACAAUGUCUUCGACCCGAAGAUUUAUCGCCUUUGGUUGGGCCCUCGUUGCAUUAGCUAGUUGGUAGGGUAAAAGGCUAUUAAGGCGUCGAUCCAUAGCUUGUCUGAGAGAAUGAUCAGCCACACUUGGACUGAGAAGCGGCCCGGAAUCCUACGGGAGGGAGCAGUGCGGGAUGGAGCAACGCGGGCGGAGGGCUGAUGCAGUUAGGAUGGGUAAGCUCUGAAGGCCGUAGGGAUGAAAAGCGUAUUUACCCAGGAUGAUAAUGACGGUACCGGGAGAAUAAGCCCCGGCUAACUCCGUG
Molecule: ribosomal RNA, 433 nt
Filed under: uncultured bacterium
Lineage: Bacteria
Description: partial 16S ribosomal RNA
Rfam family: Bacterial small subunit ribosomal RNA
Source: RNAcentral